This 570-nucleotide ribosomal RNA is filed under the name uncultured fungus. RNAcentral describes it as "eukaryotic LSU rRNA". The stretch from base 208 to 361 matches the Rfam family "5.8S ribosomal RNA". The record is from RNAcentral. Lineage: Eukaryota; Fungi.
CGUAACAAGGUCUCCGUAGGUGAACCUGCGGAGGGAUCAUUACACAAAUAUGAAGGCGGGCUGGAACCUCUCGGGGUUACAGCCUUGCUGAAUUAUUCACCCUUGUCUUUUGCGUACUUCUUGUUUCCUUGGUGGGUUCGCCCACCACUAGGACAAACAUAAACCUUUUGUAAUUGCAAUCAGCGUCAGUAACAAAUUAACAAUUACAACUUUCAACAACGGAUCUCUUGGUUCUGGCAUCGAUGAAGAACGCAGCGAAAUGCGAUAAGUAGUGUGAAUUGCAGAAUUCAGUGAAUCAUCGAAUCUUUGAACGCACAUUGCGCCCUUUGGUAUUCCAAAGGGCAUGCCUGUUCGAGCGUCAUUUGUACCCUCAAGCUUUGCUUGGUGUUGGGCGUCUUGUCUCUAGCUUUGCUGGAGACUCGCCUUAAAGUAAUUGGCAGCCGGCCUACUGGUUUCGGAGCGCAGCACAAGUCGCACUCUCUAUCAGCAAAGGUCUAGCAUCCAUUAAGCCUUUUUUUCAACUUUUGACCUCGGAUCAGGUAGGGAUACCCGCUGAACUUAAGCAUAUCA